CAGGAUUUGAAUCAUCACAAGAGAUUCACCAGAGGAUUUUAUACACUUGGGCUGUGGCAGCAGACUAAUUACAUCACAGCACUAGAGUCUUCACCAGCUCCGGAAAAGAAUAUUUUUAAUCACUGCAGUCGCUUAGGAUAACAGGGUUAUCUUUGGAAAUUCCUGCCCUCUCGUGUCCAGUAUAGAGAACUACUUUUGUGUUCUCUAAGGCUGUGAAUGUUAGCGGACAACCAGGAGCAUUUUAGGGCCUCAGCAGAAAGGAGACUGAACCAGUUCCAUGAAAACAUUCUCCUAUCUAAUAAAUCAAAAAAUCAUGACUGGCUUCCAUCAGUUCAGGAGUCUCCACACAAAUGUUUUGACAGUGGAACAAGAGACAGUCAAGGACAGUUUUAUCAGUGACAUCUACCUUCCAAUAGCAAAAACCAUCAACCGCACGGUAA
Homo sapiens (human) is the source of this 440-nucleotide long non-coding RNA. The record is from Ensembl. NCBI's taxonomy places the organism in Eukaryota, Metazoa, Chordata, Mammalia, Primates, Hominidae.